Molecule: ribosomal RNA, 397 nt
Filed under: uncultured bacterium
Lineage: Bacteria
Description: partial 16S ribosomal RNA
Rfam family: Bacterial small subunit ribosomal RNA
Source: RNAcentral
AUACGUAGGGAGCGAGCGUUGUCCGGAUUUACUGGGCGUAAAGGGCGUGUAGGCGGUCUUGCAAGUCAGAAGUGAAAUUCCUGAGCUCAACUCGGGCGCUGCUUCUGAAACUGCAGGACUUGAGUGCUGGAGGGGAUAGCGGAAUUCCUAGUGGAGCGGUAAAAUGCGCAGAUAUUAGGAAGAACACCGGUGGCGAAGGCGGCUAUCUGGACAGUAACUGACGCUGAGGCGCGAAAAUGUGGGGAGCAAACAGGAUUAGAUACCCUGGUAGUCCACACUGUAAACGAUGAAUGCUAGGUGUAGGAGGUAUCGACCCCUUCUGUGCCGCAGUAAACACAGUAAGCAUUCCGCCUGGGGAGUACGGCCGCAAGGUUGAAACUCAAAGGAAUUGACGGGG